UUCGGAGAGUUUGAUCCUGGCUCAGGACGAACGCUGGCGGCGCGCUUAACACAUGCAAGUCGAACGGAAUUAACUUCGAAGUAAUUCUUGGUUAGUUUAGUGGCGAACGGGUGAGUAAUGCGUGAGCAACCUGCCCAUUAGUGGGGGAUAACUGUCGGAAACGGUAGCUAAUACCGCAUAAUUCAAAUUUUUCGCAUGAAGUUUUUGAGAAAGGAGUAAUUCGCUGAUGGAUGGGCUCACGUCUGAUUAGCCUGUUGGUGAGGUAAAGGCUUACCAAAGCUAUGAUCAGUAGCCGGACUGAGAGGUUCAACGGCCACAUUGGGACUGAGAUACGGCCCAGACUCCUACGGGAGGCAGCAGUGGGGGAUAUUGCGCAAUGGAGGAAACUCUGAUGCAGCGACGCCGCGUGAGGGAAGAAGGUUUUCGGAUUGUAAACCUCUGUUAUUAGGGAAGAAAAAAAUGACGGUACCUAAUGAGUAAGCCCCGGCUAACUACGUGCCAGCAGCCGCGGUAAUACGUAGGGGGCGAGCGUUGUUCGGAAUUAUUGGGUGUAAAGGGCGUGUAGGCGGCUUUUUGAGUCAAGUGUGAAAUCCCAAAGCUUAACUUUGGAAUUGCAUUUGAGACCGAUUAGCUUGAGUAAAGUAGAGGCGAACGGAAUUUCCGGUGUAGCGGUGAAAUGCAUAGAUAUCGGAAGGAACACCAGUGGCGAAGGCGGUUCGCUGGGCUUUUACUGACGCUGAGGCGCGAAAGCAUGGGGAGCAAACAGGAUUAGAUACCCUGGUAGUCCAUGCUGUAAACGAUGCUUACUAGGUGUGGGGGAUCUGACAUCUUCCGUGCCGCAGUUAACACAAUAAGUAAGCCACCUGGGGAGUAUGGCCGCAAGGUUAAAACUCAAAGGAAUUGACGGGGACCCGCACAAGCAGUGGAGUAUGUGGUUUAAUUCGACGAUACGCGAGAAACCUUACCAGGUCUUGACAGCCAACUAACGAAGCGGAAACGUGUUAGGUGCCCUUUCGGGGGAAAGUUGGUACAGGUGGUGCAUGGUUGUCGUCAGCUCGUGUCGUGAGAUGUUGGGUUAAGUCCCGCAACGAGCGCAACCCUCGCCAUCAGUUGCUACGCAAGAGAACUCUGAUGGGACUGCCGUUGAUAAAACGGAGGAAGGUGGGGAUGAUGUCAAAUCCUCAUGCCCUUUAUGAUCUGGGCUACACACGUACUACAAUGGCCAUUACAAUGGGUUGCCAAAUCGCAAGAUGGAGCUAAUCCCUCAAAGAUGGCCUCAGUUCGGAUUGCAGUCUGAAAUUCGACUGCAUGAAGUCGGAAUUGCUAGUAAUCGCGGAUCAUCAUGCCGCGGUGAAUACGUUCUCGGGUCUUGUACACACCGCCCGUCACACCAUGGGAGUCGGUAGUACCCAAAACCGUUAGCUUAACCGCAAGGAGAGCGGCGUCUAAGGUAGGAUUGGCGACUGGGGUGAAGUCGUAACAAGGUAGCCGUAUCGGAAGGUGCGGCUGGAUCACCUCCUU
RNAcentral lists this ribosomal RNA (1521 nucleotides) under Candidatus Improbicoccus pseudotrichonymphae. Its description in RNAcentral is "bacterial SSU rRNA". It matches the Rfam family "Bacterial small subunit ribosomal RNA". The record is from RNAcentral. Lineage: Bacteria; Bacillati; Bacillota; Clostridia.